RNAcentral lists this ribosomal RNA (395 nucleotides) under uncultured bacterium. RNAcentral's name for it is "bacterial SSU rRNA". It matches the Rfam family "Bacterial small subunit ribosomal RNA", at positions 975 to 1368 of the family's 1533-position model. The record is from RNAcentral.
CAACCCUUGACAUGCCAGGACGGUUCCCAGAAACGGGUUCCUUCUCGCAAGAGACCUGGACACAGGUGCUGCAUGGCUGUCGUCAGCUCGUGUCGUGAGAUGUUGGGUUAAGUCCCGCAACGAGCGCAACCCUCAUCUUCAGUUGCCAGCGGUUCGGCCGGGCACUCUGAAGAAACUGCCGGUGACAAGCCGGAGGAAGGUGGGGAUGACGUCAAGUCCUCAUGGCCCUUACGGGUUGGGCUACACACGUGCUACAAUGGCGGUGACAAUGGGAUGCAAAAGCCGUAAGGCCGAGCCAAUCUCAAAAAGCCGUCUCAGUUCGGAUUGCACUCUGCAACUCGAGUGCAUGAAGUCGGAAUCGCUAGUAAUCGUGGAUCAGCACGCCACGGUGAAUA